Molecule: ribosomal RNA, 309 nt
Filed under: uncultured bacterium
Lineage: Bacteria
Description: bacterial SSU rRNA
Rfam family: Bacterial small subunit ribosomal RNA
Source: RNAcentral
AUUGAACGCUAGCGGGAUGCUUUACACAUGCAAGUCGAACGGCAGCACGAGGAAGUUUACUUCUUUGGUGGCGAGUGGCGGACGGGUGAGUAAUGUAUCGGAACGUGCCCAGUAGUGGGGGAUAACUACGCGAAAGCGUAGCUAAUACCGCAUAUUCUCUUCGGGGGAAAGGGGGGAUCAUUUGACCUCUCGCUAUUGGAGCGGCCGAUAUCAGAUUAGUUAGUUGGUGGGGUAACGGCCUACCAAGGCAGUGACCUGUAGCUGGUUUGAGAGGACGACCAGCCACACUGGGACUGAGACACGGCCCAG